Molecule: ribosomal RNA, 250 nt
Filed under: Verrucaria anziana
Lineage: Eukaryota; Fungi; Ascomycota; Eurotiomycetes; Verrucariales; Verrucariaceae
Description: partial 18S small subunit ribosomal RNA
Source: RNAcentral
AUAAUGCCGUCAAGGUCCACUAUCUUUAGCGGGCAACGUCACAUAAAUGCUGGAACCGUUAGCAAUAACCGCACCAGCAGCCGAGGUUCUCCUGGGCUCACAGAUUAGAUGGUGACGGUUGAAUGAAGGAAGAUGGAAGAGCACGCACGCUGCCUGGAACCUUCUGAUCAUUCAAUUAAGAUAUAACCGGUCAACCGUGGUGAAACGGUUGGAGAAAUGUUCCGUAGGUGAACCUGCGGAAGGAUCAUUA